RNAcentral lists this ribosomal RNA (559 nucleotides) under Nakazawaea ishiwadae. RNAcentral describes it as "LSU rRNA". It matches the Rfam family "Eukaryotic large subunit ribosomal RNA", at positions 56 to 635 of the family's 3401-position model. The record is from RNAcentral. Lineage: Eukaryota; Fungi; Ascomycota; Pichiomycetes; Alaninales; Pachysolenaceae.
GCAGAACUAACAGGGAUUGCCUUAGUAACGGCGAGUGAAGCGGCAAAAGCUCAAAUUUGAAAUCUAGCACUUUCAGUGUUCGAGUUGUAAUUUGAAGAAGGUAUCUUUGGAGUUGGCCCCUGUCUAUGUUCCUUGGAACAGGACGUCACAGAGGGUGAGAAUCCCGUGCGAUGGGGAGACCAAUUCUAUGUAAAGUUCCUUCGAAGAGUCGAGUUGUUUGGGAAUGCAGCUCUAAGUGGGUGGUAAAUUCCAUCUAAAGCUAAAUAUUGGCGAGAGACCGAUAGCGAACAAGUACAGUGAUGGAAAGAUGAAAAGAACUUUGAAAAGAGAGUGAAAAAGUACGUGAAAUUGUUGAAAGGGAAGGACUUUUGAUCAGACUUGGUGUUUAGUACUCUCUACUCCUUGUGGGUGGGGCUCUUGCUUUAUACUGGGCCAGCAUCGGUUUGGAUGGCAGGAUAAUGGCAUUGGAAUGUGGCUUCAUUCGUGGAGUGUUAUAGCCUUUGUUGAUACUGCCUAUCUAGACCGAGGACUGCGUCUUUGACUAGGAUGCUGGCGUAAU